AUAUAGGAUAUUAAAGGAAAAUAUGAAUUCUGAAUAUGAACAGGAGUUCAUUGCUACUUUCUAAAAUUUGAAACAUCACUUCCUUUUCAUGCAAAUCCUUAUCAAGUGACUACUAAGGGCUAUUUACAAUCCUAAGAGACAAGGACAAGUGAUACAGCCUUUGUACUCAUGGAACACAGAGCGAUGGAAGGGAAGUUAUUAUGACAUACUAUGAUUUAGCUGUGUGCUAAGUAGUUAGCCUAGCGGUGUGAGCUAUAGAACCACAGAGGAGCAGGAGAUAACCCAAACUAGGAUAUGGGAAAGGGUUAUCAAAGGACAACACCUCUGAAAUGAGUCUUAAAGAUGAGUAAGUUGGCCCUGAAAAAGGGAGGAAGUACAGUCUUCAAAGAGGAUGCGGAGCAGAUGCACAGGGAAGAGGAAACCACAGGAUGGGAGAUUCUCUGUAUAUAUGUGUACAAGGUGCUAGAUCUCCAACAUGUUUGCUCUGUGGAUCACAACUAUGAAGCACCGUAACUGAGCUGUUUGGGGUCCUCACUGGGAGAAGGGAGAAUCAGCAGGUGAGCAAGCUGAGCUUCAGCCUCGGGGCAGAGGAGCAAGGAACACCUGCUUGUUCCCCAAUGCCAAAAGGGGCCAAGCAAAGCAGCCCCAGCAGCUGCCAGGAGCAACUCUCAUGACAUAACAACAUCUUUCACCAAAUCUGAGAUGUCACUGACCACAAGGUGUACAUUACUUUAUGCACCACUGAGAAAGCAGAAGCAUCCAAGAUGGAGAGUUGAACAGGGAAGCCCCACCUGAAGCUGAGGAACCAAAGGCCACAAAGAAAUAAGCCUGCCAGGCAGAAAGGGAUGGCAAAGAGAUGUGCAUGUUUCAACCUGGGCACUGGGCAAACGGAGGGAGGAAUCUUCCCUGAAGAGUUGAACCAUAAGCCACAACUCACUCGGGUAGGUUUGCAUUCUGAAUCCCCACCACUGGUUGGUCUAAAAACCCCCAGGCAGAGAAUCUAAACUUCUGUCUUAGUUUGGCAGUGCCCCUGGUGACUAGCAGAGGCAAACUCUCUGGAAGAAAGGGACUGCCAUGGCAGCUCUAAGCUGCAUCCUGAUUUCAGAUAUGUUAAUGCAUAAAAAUAUGUACACCUGGGAAUAGAAAUACAGGAACCCUCGCGCACUAUGAGGCCAACCUGGGAGUUGCCUGGGGUCUGGAGCUAAGCAUAUCAAAAUCAAGAAGAGAGCAAGACAGAAACCAAAGUCAAAAAUGCAAGAUAGGGUCCAACAGGUGACCCACUGAAGGAAACGAAACGAAAGCAACGGGAGACGGGUAGAGUCACUAGGGACUGCACCCAGGAGCAGGUCAGGGACAAGCAGGCUAGGCCUGGGCUACAGCUCUGUCCACUCAUCUUCUGACCUUAAGAACCAGGAGAGACGCUCUCCCAGCUUCAACUCCUCAUCAAUAAAAUGCAGAAAAUACCUUCUCCAGGAUUACUGAGGAAAUGAAAAAGCAAUCUUAAAAGCAUUUUACAUUCUAUAAAAGCACCAUGCCAAUAAAAUGAUACUUAUUCUUGAUUUAAA
Long non-coding RNA from Microcebus murinus (gray mouse lemur), 1565 nucleotides. RefSeq lists it as uncharacterized. NCBI's taxonomy places the organism in Eukaryota, Metazoa, Chordata, Mammalia, Primates, Cheirogaleidae. The record is from RefSeq and is a predicted model, not a curated record.